Molecule: long non-coding RNA, 1021 nt
Organism: Mauremys reevesii (Reeves's turtle)
Lineage: Eukaryota; Metazoa; Chordata; Testudines; Geoemydidae
Exons: 3
Source: RefSeq, a predicted model, not a curated record
CCCCGUGUCUGUCUGCCCUGGAGGCCGCUGGCUCAGCCCGUGGCUGGGAAACGCCUUUGGAGCGGGUGUGCGGAGUUUCCAAGAGCCCUCGCACUGCGGGCGGAUGGUAUAAAAGGGGCAAACGGGCGGAGGGGGGAGCAGAGCCCACACAGCCCUGACAACAGUCAUUUCAGGGCACCACGGUGCUGAAAGAAGCCCAAAGGGCACAACCCCGUUUUUAAAAAGCAUUUUCUGGUCACUUUUAAUACAUCUACGGGGAGGAAAUGCCAUGGGAUUAUUUGGUAAAUAUAGAGCAGGCGGGAAUGGACACGUUUUGCGAACAAUAUCUAUAUCUAGAGAGGUUUCAGAGUAGCAGCCGUGUUAGUCUGUAUCCGCAAACAAGUACUCCUAUAUCUAGAGAGAAAGUCAACAUUUUUCAAAAUUCAAGGUUUUUUUUUAAUCAACUCUAGCUAAAUAGCCCUGCACUGCUCUGUCUUGUGCAUGCAAUGUGCAUGCAAAGGAUAUAUAAAAUAAUAAAAUAAUAUAAAUAGGAGAGUGAGAUAGAUAAAGGAAUUUUCUGCCAUAUCCUGGGGAGGCUUCAUUGGAUUAAGUGCCCAGGGUGGCACAUGUGGACAGGAGGAGCACCACUUGAUCCCGCACCUGUGACUGGGAGCUGCCCUUGACCAGCCAGUCGUCAAGAUAGGGGAAGAGCUGGACCCCACAACGUCUGAGGGAGGGUCACACUCAGAGGCUUGCCAUGUGAAAGGGGUCACCCGUCCAAUAUGGUGCAAGGAGUUCUGCGCCUCACUGGACAGUCCAGACAGCAGGAACCAUGACACCCUCCUCAUGAACACAGCGGAGGCCAUAGAUCUUGCAGCCUUAUCUGCGGCAUCUGACGCUGCCUGCAGGGUUGCCCUGGCAGCCGCUGUGCCCUCCUCAACCAGAGCUUUGAACUCCUUUUUGUCAUGCUCCUGGAGGGAGUCUUCGAAUUUGGGUAGAGUGCCCCACAAAUUGAACUCAUACCGACCUAGGAGAGCCUGAU